This 1554-nucleotide ribosomal RNA is filed under the name Klebsiella quasipneumoniae. RNAcentral describes it as "bacterial SSU rRNA". It matches the Rfam family "Bacterial small subunit ribosomal RNA". The record is from RNAcentral. Lineage: Bacteria; Pseudomonadati; Pseudomonadota; Gammaproteobacteria; Enterobacterales; Enterobacteriaceae.
ACUUAAAUUGAAGAGUUUGAUCAUGGCUCAGAUUGAACGCUGGCGGCAGGCCUAACACAUGCAAGUCGAGCGGUAGCACAGAGAGCUUGCUCUCGGGUGACGAGCGGCGGACGGGUGAGUAAUGUCUGGGAAACUGCCUGAUGGAGGGGGAUAACUACUGGAAACGGUAGCUAAUACCGCAUAAUGUCGCAAGACCAAAGUGGGGGACCUUCGGGCCUCAUGCCAUCAGAUGUGCCCAGAUGGGAUUAGCUAGUAGGUGGGGUAAUGGCUCACCUAGGCGACGAUCCCUAGCUGGUCUGAGAGGAUGACCAGCCACACUGGAACUGAGACACGGUCCAGACUCCUACGGGAGGCAGCAGUGGGGAAUAUUGCACAAUGGGCGCAAGCCUGAUGCAGCCAUGCCGCGUGUGUGAAGAAGGCCUUCGGGUUGUAAAGCACUUUCAGCGGGGAGGAAGGCGAUAAGGUUAAUAACCUUGUUGAUUGACGUUACCCGCAGAAGAAGCACCGGCUAACUCCGUGCCAGCAGCCGCGGUAAUACGGAGGGUGCAAGCGUUAAUCGGAAUUACUGGGCGUAAAGCGCACGCAGGCGGUCUGUCAAGUCGGAUGUGAAAUCCCCGGGCUCAACCUGGGAACUGCAUUCGAAACUGGCAGGCUAGAGUCUUGUAGAGGGGGGUAGAAUUCCAGGUGUAGCGGUGAAAUGCGUAGAGAUCUGGAGGAAUACCGGUGGCGAAGGCGGCCCCCUGGACAAAGACUGACGCUCAGGUGCGAAAGCGUGGGGAGCAAACAGGAUUAGAUACCCUGGUAGUCCACGCCGUAAACGAUGUCGAUUUGGAGGUUGUGCCCUUGAGGCGUGGCUUCCGGAGCUAACGCGUUAAAUCGACCGCCUGGGGAGUACGGCCGCAAGGUUAAAACUCAAAUGAAUUGACGGGGGCCCGCACAAGCGGUGGAGCAUGUGGUUUAAUUCGAUGCAACGCGAAGAACCUUACCUGGUCUUGACAUCCACAGAACUUAGCAGAGAUGCUUUGGUGCCUUCGGGAACUGUGAGACAGGUGCUGCAUGGCUGUCGUCAGCUCGUGUUGUGAAAUGUUGGGUUAAGUCCCGCAACGAGCGCAACCCUUAUCCUUUGUUGCCAGCGGUUAGGCCGGGAACUCAAAGGAGACUGCCAGUGAUAAACUGGAGGAAGGUGGGGAUGACGUCAAGUCAUCAUGGCCCUUACGACCAGGGCUACACACGUGCUACAAUGGCAUAUACAAAGAGAAGCGACCUCGCGAGAGCAAGCGGACCUCAUAAAGUAUGUCGUAGUCCGGAUUGGAGUCUGCAACUCGACUCCAUGAAGUCGGAAUCGCUAGUAAUCGUAGAUCAGAAUGCUACGGUGAAUACGUUCCCGGGCCUUGUACACACCGCCCGUCACACCAUGGGAGUGGGUUGCAAAAGAAGUAGGUAGCUUAACCUUCGGGAGGGCGCUUACCACUUUGUGAUUCAUGACUGGGGUGAAGUCGUAACAAGGUAACCGUAGGGGAACCUGCGGUUGGAUCACCUCCUUACCUUAAAGAA